CCCUUAGUUAUCCUAGGCCGCACGCGUGUUACAAUGACUUUUUCAGCAAGUUCUCCUGGCCCGAGAGGGUGCGGGUAAUCUGAAAUCAAAGUCGUGUUAGGGAUAGAUCUUUGCAAUUAUAGAUCUUGAACGAGGAUUUUGUAGUAAGUGCGCGUCAUCACCGCGUACUGACUGCGUCGCUGCUGUUUGUACACACCGCCCGUCGCUUCUACCGAUUGAAUGUUCCGGUGAGUAAUUUGGACCCGGGGGGGCUUGCUCCUCUGGGGAAGUUUCGCAAACCUAUGCAUUUAGAGGAAGAAGAAGUCGUAACA
RNAcentral lists this ribosomal RNA (311 nucleotides) under uncultured eukaryote. RNAcentral's name for it is "partial 18S ribosomal RNA". It matches the Rfam family "Eukaryotic small subunit ribosomal RNA", at positions 1470 to 1796 of the family's 1831-position model. The record is from RNAcentral.